RNAcentral lists this ribosomal RNA (500 nucleotides) under uncultured bacterium. RNAcentral describes it as "partial 16S ribosomal RNA". It matches the Rfam family "Bacterial small subunit ribosomal RNA", at positions 30 to 523 of the family's 1533-position model. The record is from RNAcentral.
AUUGAACGCUGGCGGAAUGCUUUACACAUGCAAGUCGAACGGCAGCACGGACUUCGGUCUGGUGGCAAGUGGCGAACGGGUGAGUAAUGUAUCGGAACGUGCCCAGUCGUGGGGGAUAACGUAGUGAAAAUUACGCUAAUACCGCAUACGAUCUAUGGAUGAAAGCGGGGGAUCGCAAGACCUCGCGCGAUUGGAGCGGCCGAUAUCAGAUUAGGUAGUUGGUGGGGUAAAGGCCCACCAAGCCAACGAUCUGUAGCUGGUCUGAGAGGACGACCAGCCACACUGGAACUGAGACACGGUCCAGACUCCUACGGGAGGCAGCAGUGGGGAAUUUUGGACAAUGGGCGAAAGCCUGAUCCAGCCAUUCCGCGUGCAGGAUGAAGGCCCUCGGGUUGUAAGCUGCUUUUGUACGGAACGAAAAGGUUUCUACUAAUACUAGGAGCUCAUGACGGUACUGUAAGAAUAAGCACCGGCUAACUACGUGCCAGCCGCCGCGGUAA